Molecule: ribosomal RNA, 761 nt
Filed under: uncultured bacterium
Lineage: Bacteria
Description: bacterial SSU rRNA
Rfam family: Bacterial small subunit ribosomal RNA
Source: RNAcentral
AUUGAACGCUGGCGGCAGGCUUAACACAUGCAAGUCGGACGGUAACAGGAGGAAAGCUUGCUUUCUUUGCUGACGAGUGGCGGACGGGUGAGUAAUGCUUGGGAAUCUGUUUUAUGGAGGGGGAUAACUACGGGAAACUGUAGCUAAUACCGCGUAAUAUCGAGAGAUUAAAGUGUGGGACCGUAAGGCCACACGCCAUAGAGUGAGCCCAAGUGGGAUUAGGUAGUUGGUGGGGUAAAGGCCUACCAAGCCGUCGAUCUCUAGCUGGUCUGAGAGGAUGACCAGCCACACUGGGACUGAGACACGGCCCAGACUCCUACGGGAGGCAGCAGUGGGGAAUAUUGCACAAUGGGCGCAAGCCUGAUGCAGCCAUGCCGCGUGAAUGAAGAAGGCCUUCGGGUUGUAAAGUUCUUUCGGUGGUGAGGAAGGUCGUAAUGUUAAUAGCAUUAUAAUUUGACGUUAGCCACAGAAGAAGCACCGGCUAACUCCGUGCCAGCAGCCGCGGUAAUACGGAGGGUGCGAGCGUUAAUCGGAAUAACUGGGCGUAAAGGGCACGCAAGCGGAUACUUAAGUGAGGUGUGAAAGCCCUGGGCUUAACCUAGGAAUUGCAUUUCAUACUGGGUAUCUAGAGUAUUUUAGGGAGGGGUAGAAUUCCACGUGUAGCGGUGAAAUGCGUAGAGAUGUGGAGGAAUACCGAAGGCGAAGGCAGCCCCUUGGGGGAAUACUGACGCUCAUGUGCGAAAGCGUGGGGAGCAAACAGG